This 496-nucleotide ribosomal RNA is filed under the name uncultured bacterium. Its description in RNAcentral is "partial 16S ribosomal RNA". It matches the Rfam family "Bacterial small subunit ribosomal RNA", at positions 29 to 507 of the family's 1533-position model. The record is from RNAcentral.
AUGAACGCUGGCGGCGUGCCUAUUCCAUCCAAGUCGGGCGAACAGACGAGGAGCUUGCUCCUCUGCCGUUAGCGGCGGCCGGGGAGGUAACACUUGGAUAACCUACCUAUAAAACUGGGAUAACUUCGGGAAACCGGGGCUAAUACCGGAUAAUAUAUUGAACCGCAGGGUUCAAUAGUGAAAAACGGUUUUGCUGUCACUUAUAGAUGGAUCCGCGCCGCAUUAGCUAGUUGGUAAGGUAACGGCUUACCAAGGCGACGAUGCGUAGCCGACCUGAGAGGGUGAUCGGCCACACUGGAACUGAGACACGGUCCAGACUCCUACGGGAGGCAGCAGUAGGGAAUCUUCCGCAAUGGGCGAAAGCUUGACGGAGCAACGCCGCGUGAGUGAUGAAGGUCUUCGGAUCGUAAAACUCUGUUAUUAGGGAAGAACAAAUGUGUAAGUAACUAUGCACGUCUUGACGGUACCUAAUCAGAAAGCCACGGCUAACUACGUG